GAUCCUGGCUCAGGAUGAACGCUGGCGGCGUGCUUAACACAUGCAAGUCGAACGAAGCACUUAAGAUUGAUUCUUCGGAUGACGUCUUUUGUGACUUAGUGGCGGACGGGUGAGUAACGCGUGGGUAACCUGCCUCACACAGGGGGAUAACAGUUAGAAAUGACUGCUAAUACCGCAUAACCCGAUAGGAUCGCAUGAUCCAGACGGAAAAGAUUUAUCGGUGUGAGAUGGACCCGCGU
This 239-nucleotide ribosomal RNA is filed under the name uncultured bacterium. Its description in RNAcentral is "partial 16S ribosomal RNA". It matches the Rfam family "Bacterial small subunit ribosomal RNA", at positions 15 to 236 of the family's 1533-position model. The record is from RNAcentral.